RNAcentral lists this long non-coding RNA (1177 nucleotides) under Homo sapiens (human). RNAcentral's name for it is "HSALNT0354740". The record is from RNAcentral. Lineage: Eukaryota; Metazoa; Chordata; Mammalia; Primates; Hominidae.
GCCCCCAAGGCUGUGGGUAUGAGGCCGGGGCCCUGCACCGGAAGGGAGGGCGGAAGCCACGGGACGUGGAGCAGAUGGUGAGGAUAGUGGGGAGGUAGCAGCAGAGGAUGACCCGAGGCAAAAGUGCAAGUGAAGAAAAGUCGCCUUGCCGGGCAGAGGUACGGGACCAAGGCGCCUCCUCUGGGCUGAGGAGUUAGAGGGAAGAAAAUGGCGCCCUGUCAUGAGGGCGCGAGGUCCGAGUUGAGGGGAGAAGACUGAGGGACACAGAAGUGGCCGAAGUGAGGGCGCUGAGGUCAGCCUGAGCUGAGAGGGCCGGCAGAUCACGCCGCAGCCGAAGUGAACGAACUCGAGUGAGGAAAUUACUCCAGGAUUUGAAUCAUCACAAGAGAUUCACCAGAGGAUUUUAUACACUUGGGCUGUGGCAGCAGACUAAUUACAUCACAGCACUAGGAUAUCACAUUGUAUUUGGUCAUCAUGACUCCUUAGUCUCCAAUCUGUGCCAGUUUUUUUGGUCUUGUCUUUCAUGGCCUUGGGGAUUUUUGAAGAAUAAUGGCCAGGUAUUUUGUAGGAUGCCCCUUAACUUAGAUUUGUCUGAUAUUGGGAUUUAUCAUGAUUAGAUUGGGAAUAUGGGUUUGGGGGAAGAAUACUGCAGAGGUGAACUGCCCUUUCCAUUGCAUCAUAUGAGGGGUGCAUGAUAUCCACGUGACUAUGAGUGCUGAUGUUAACCUUGAUCACUUGGUUAAGGUGGUGUCUGAAAGGUUUCCUAGUUACUCUUUUUCCAUACUUUAUUCUUUAGAAGCAAGACACUAAGUACAGCCCAAAAUCAAGGAGUGGAGAAUUUAUUUUAAAACUGCAUUCUACCAAUCCUUAUUUGAUACUCCCCCACCCCACUUCCAAAAGUCCACUUGGUUCCUGAGCCUUUAGAAGAUUCUGUGGUAUACAUCAGCUUAGUUUUUGGCUUUUCCUACUGUAUCCUAAGUCAUUUUUCUGUUUUCCAGUCUCCACAAUUUUGUUGCUAUUGUCUCUUUUUUCUCUCUGUGAGUUUGUGAGUUUUUUUUUUUAAUCCCUUUACUGUAGCUUAGUGGGGCUUCGGAGAGAUUAAAACUGUAUUUUUAUGUUCAAUCUGCCUUCUUUAUUUGGAAGCUCUGGGAGAAAUAUUUUUUUUUUUGAGACGGAG